UGGGGAAUAUUGCACAAUGGGCGCAAGCCUGAUGCAGCCAUGCCGCGUGUAUGAAGAAGGCCUUCGGGUUGUAAAGUACUUUCAGCGAGGAGGAAGGCGUUGUGGUUAAUAACCGCAACGAUUGACGUUACUCGCAGAAGAAGCACCGGCUAACUCCGUGCCAGCAGCCGCGGUAAUACGGAGGGUGCAAGCGUUAAUCGGAAUUACUGGGCGUAAAGCGCAAGCAGGCGGUCUGUCAAGUCGGAUGUGAAAUCCCCGGGCUCAACCUGGGAACUGCAUCCGAAACUGGCAGGCUAGAGUCUUGUAGAGGGGGGUAGAAUUCCAGGUGUAGCGGUGAAAUGCGUAGAGAUCUGGAGGAAUACCGGUGGCGAAGGCGGCCCCCUGGACAAAGACUGACGCUCAGGUGCGAAAGCGUGGGGAGCAAACA
This 427-nucleotide ribosomal RNA is filed under the name uncultured bacterium. RNAcentral describes it as "partial 16S ribosomal RNA". It matches the Rfam family "Bacterial small subunit ribosomal RNA", at positions 355 to 774 of the family's 1533-position model. The record is from RNAcentral.